RNAcentral lists this ribosomal RNA (502 nucleotides) under uncultured cyanobacterium. RNAcentral describes it as "bacterial SSU rRNA". It matches the Rfam family "Bacterial small subunit ribosomal RNA", at positions 381 to 896 of the family's 1533-position model. Lineage: Bacteria; Bacillati; Cyanobacteriota. The record is from RNAcentral.
ACCUGGCGGAGCAAGACCGCGUGGGGGAGGAAGGUUCUUGGAUUGUCAACCCUUUUCUCAAGGAAGAACAAAAUGACGGUACUUGAGGAAUAAGCAUCGGCUAACUCCGUGCCAGCAGCCGCGGUAAUACGGAGGAUGCAAGCGUUAUCCGGAAUGAUUGGGCGUAAAGAGUCCGUAGGUGGCUUUUCAAGUCUAUUGUUAAAGCGCGAGGCUUAACCUCGUUCAGGCCGUAGAAACUGAAAAGCUUGAGAGCAGUAGGGGCAGAAGGAAUUCCUGGUGUAGCGGUGAAAUGCGUAGAGAUCAGGAAGAACACCGGUGGCGAAAGCGUUCUGCUGGGCUGCAUUCUGACACUGAGGGACGAAAGCUAGGGGAGCGAAUGGGAUUAGAUACCCCAGUAGUCCUAGCCGUAAACGAUGGAUACUAGGUGUUGUGAGUAUCGACCCUCACAGUGCCGAAGCCAACGCAUCAAGUAUCCCGCCUGGGGAGUACGCACGCAAGUGUG